Molecule: long non-coding RNA, 744 nt
Filed under: Salmo salar (Atlantic salmon)
Lineage: Eukaryota; Metazoa; Chordata; Actinopteri; Salmoniformes; Salmonidae
Description: lncRNA (ENSSSAG00000102056.1)
Source: RNAcentral
GUAACAUCACCAGACUGGGACUGUCAUGGUGCCAGGUAACAUAGCUUUGACUGGGACUGUCAUGGUGCCAGGUAACAGACUGGGACUGUCAUGGUGCCAGGUAACAUUAGGCUGUAUGAAACAGACUGGGACUGUCAUGGUUCCAGGUAACAUUAGGCUGUUUGAAACAGACUGGGACUGUCAUGGUGCCAGGUAACAUCAGGCUGUUUGAAACAGACUGGGACUGUCAUGGUGCCAGGUAACAUCAGGCUGUUUGAAACAGACUGGGACUGUCAUGGUGCCAGGUAACAUUAGGCUGUUUGAAACAGACUGGGACUGUCAUGGUUCCAGGUAACAUCAGGCUGUUUGAAACAGACUGGGACUGUCAUGGUGCCAGGUAACAUCAGGCUGUUUGAAACAGACUGGGACUGUCAUGGUGCCAGGUAACAUCAGGCUGUAUGAAACAGACUGGGACUGUCAUGGUGCCAGGUAACAUCAGGCUGUUUGAAACAGACUGGGACUGUCAUGGUGCCAGGUAACAUUAGGCUGUUUGAAACAGACUGGGACUGUCAUGGUGCCAGGUAACAUUAGGCUGUUUGAAACAGACUGGGACUGUCAUGGUUCCAGGUAACAUUAGGCUGUUUGAAACAGACUGGGACUGUCAUGGUGCCAGGUAACAUUAGGCUGUUUGAAACAGACUGGGACUGUCAUGGUGCCAGGUAACAUUAGGCUGUUUGAAACAGACUGGGACUGUCAUGGUGCCAG